CUCUCUUCACUCUUCAUCUCAGCUCCAGAAAAACCUUCGAAAACCCUACAACCACCUCUCAAAAUUUGCUGCAAUCCGCUCUCUAUCUCCCGAAAUGUACAGCUUAUCGAGGCGUUCUGUUCCGGCUAUCCUCCGAGGCGGCGCUGCGCUCAAUCGCGCUAUUUAUUCCGUCGACCAUCAGCUCUCCGGAGAGAGUGAUCCAACAAAGAGAUGGUGCUCUGUGCUGACAGCCGGCAGCGGCAAUGCUAUUGGUGGCACCACGUCAUUUGAUCUGAAAAUGGGGCAUUUUAUGUGGUGUCGUUAUGAGACAACUGCUGCUUCAGCUAAUCCACCUCCGCAACCUCAAAUCCAAGCAGAG
Non-coding RNA from Salvia hispanica, 358 nucleotides. The record is from RefSeq and is a predicted model, not a curated record. NCBI's taxonomy places the organism in Eukaryota, Viridiplantae, Streptophyta, Magnoliopsida, Lamiales, Lamiaceae.